CUUGUCAUCGCAUAUUAUAUCUGCAACUUAAUUUUUAUCGUAUUAAGUUAUGUGAACUCAUUUCUUAUCAUUAACAGAUGAAGUAGGGAUAGAACCGGGAUCUGAGUUACUGGAUGCUGAGUCUAGUCUUUAGCGCCAUAGGGCAAGGGUUUCCUUUGCGGCGGGUUAUAGUGUGUAAAAGUUUAUAUUAAUAUGGAUACUAUUUGCUGGAGAUGAACGAUAUGGUUUUCUCAUUUGAUGUGUAUGUAGAAUUGUAAGUUUACAUUGGGUUUGAACAAUAAAAUGUGGACAAGUUUUUUUUAUGUGUGAUUAAACUAACAUGAGAUUUGUGUGUUGGGUCAUGAAAUUGUUUUAUCUUACGCCGUGGAAAAAAAAAAAAACAGGGCGUUAUACAAGAAGAGCUGGAAGAAUGGGUAAACUAAAAAGACUGCCCGAAAGGCUGAAAAAAAAAAACAAAAGAACAAAAAACAGUUUCUCCGAGUAUGCUUGAUGGCUAGUUGUUCCUCAAGGUUGAGAAGAUUUUUAUUGUGACAUACAAAGUGUAUCUGCAGCCAAAUCUAGUCGCAAUAGUUCUCAGAAAAUGGAAAGCAAAAGCGAAAGGUAAGGGAGAGGAGAAGAAGGAGAGAAGGAAAUUAGGAAAGACUGAGGAUAGAAGAGAGAGGAGGUUUUAGUGCUAUUCAUUUAUGGGUAAGCUUGUUAGAUCAACUCAUCUUAUUUAUACAUUUCAUUCAGUUUCUACAGCAAACUCUUUUAUUAGCUGCAACAAUUUGUGCCUCUAACUACUUUUAAUUAGUCAGGUAGCUUUUCUAGUUAAAUCAGAGCAACUAUUUCAUGUAUUUUCUUACUUAAAUGUCCUGGGUCUUUUGGCAAAAAAGUUAACAUGUGUUGUUAUAUUAUUUUUAUGGUGGAAAUUUUGUUUCAUUCUUGGCUUUUCUUUCUAAAUAAGAGAAAAUGUCAACUGAAUUUGUUGUCAAAAUGCUAUCUUAUUUAGCUUGUGCAUGUUCUUUAAUUCUUUGCAUUUAGAUUGUGGUAAUUGAAUUUUACAUUUACAAAGGAUUUGGCCUGACGAAAAGGAAAAGAAAAAAAAAAAUCCCAUUACAUAGGUAUAUUAGUCUGUAUUUUUUAUAUCAGUUUUCUUUUAUUAUAUUAUCAAGUCGAAUAGAAUAUUAUUGUAUGAGGUCAAACUGUGAUAAAGUAUUAUAGCAAGUAGGUAGCUAGUUGAUUUUAGUUGGUAAGUGAAGGGAUUUAAAAUUUAUCUAGUUAUUGCAUUCUAAGGGGUUCAGUCUGACAAGAAGAAGCAUCAUCAUCUACAUCAAAUAUGUCAUAUAUUUGGAGAAGUUUAGCAGCUUAACUUCGUUAUUGUUGAAAAAAAAAAUGAAAUUGACAAAAAGUUGUAGAAUUCGCAUGUAUUUCGUUUUAACAGAGAAACUUAGAUUUAAAAUGAAUCCCACUCUUCUUAGAAAGUUCAUAUGAUCCAAACUAAAGUAAGCUUUUACCCAAGAAGAAUGUUUAUUUGCAAAAGAUUAUUUAGAGCUAUAGACAUGGCCUAAAACUAUAUAUAAGGCCAAUCGUUCAAUAUAUACAUUAAAAGUUGACAUCUUAUGAGCCAUUAUUUGCAUAUUUGUUGACAAAAUUCAAAUAGAAAAUACUAAUCUUUCUGGAAAAUGUAUAUAUGUUGUUUAUUAAGUCAUUUAAUACUUCAUAAUCUGGACUUCUAACAGUCACAGGAAGUAAGAGGGAGUACAGAAUCAGUGAAUCCCCUCUUCUUAGAAUAUAGUGAAACAGAAUCAGCUUGUUAAGCACUCAAGGUGGACAAAGUUUAUUAUAAGACAUCUCUCUAAUAUUUGUAGAAGUAACAGGGAGUACAGCUUUAUAUUUGGUUUUGUCAUUGUUAGACUAACUAACAUUAGGUUUGAGUUAAAUCUGGAAAUGUAAAAUCCAUUUCCAUCUCUUCUUCUUAUCUAGUAGAACUAAGCUGUAUCCUAACUGCAGAUUCUACAUAUUGGUUGGCCAUAUUAUUUUAGUUCUUGGUGUGUCAAUCGAAAUACUCGAGUUCUAUGCCAUUCAUGUUUUUUUUUUUUUUUUUAUUAAUGUCAAUUUUCUGAUCCAUGACACCAUAAAAGAUUAUUGUAUGCCUGAAUAAUCUAGUUGAUGAGUGAAAAGAUAAAAUACUAAACUACGUAUACUUGUGAUAAAAUUAUUAUUUGAUCCAUUAGGUCAUUGCUUGUAGGAAGCGGCAUCUGGCAAGUAGAGGCAUCAUCAUCCACGUCAAAUGUACGUAUCUCUUUAAAUUUUCAGCUGAACUUCAUUGAUAUUAUAUGGGGCAGGUAAACUGGAACCGUAACGACUUGGUUUUAUAUUUGUGUUUAGAAGUUAGUUCACUUCUGGACUAUCUUAGCUUCCUUUGUUGACAAAAUCCAAAUAGAGAAAUGCACGUAUGUUGCUGAUAAAAACCAUCUAAUGCUUCAACAAUGUGGGUAACACCAAUAGUUUUUAAGAGAAAUUAGGAAUUAUCUAAAUAUAAUUUAGGGAUGAAUUAAGAGAAAAUCGACGUAAAGACUCGCACUAACAGCUCGUGGUGGCUUAGAAUCUUGGACUCAAUAUUUGAAGUUUAGGCAAAAAAUUUAUCUCUUGAAUACGAAAAAGUUUAUAGUACUCCUAAUCGUCGUCAAUGAAUUAUAUAGUUAGUUCUCU
RNAcentral lists this long non-coding RNA (2694 nucleotides) under Carica papaya (papaya). Its description in RNAcentral is "long non-coding RNA (CPAP_LNC001124)". The record is from RNAcentral. Lineage: Eukaryota; Viridiplantae; Streptophyta; Magnoliopsida; Brassicales; Caricaceae.